Molecule: ribosomal RNA, 406 nt
Filed under: uncultured bacterium
Lineage: Bacteria
Description: partial 16S ribosomal RNA
Rfam family: Bacterial small subunit ribosomal RNA
Source: RNAcentral
AUUGAACGCUGGCGGCAGGCCUAACACAUGCAAGUCGAACGAGUGGCGGACGGGUGAGUAAUGUCUGGGAAACUGCCUGAUGGAGGGGGAUAACUACUGGAAACGGUAGCUAAUACCGCAUACCAUCGGAUGUGCCCAGAUGGGUUUGGCUAGUAGGUGGGGUAAAGGCUCACCUAGGCGACGAUGCCUAGCUGGGCUGAGAGGAUGACCAGCCAAACUGGAACUGAGACACGGUCCAGACUCCUACGGGAGGCAGCAGUGGGGAAUAUUGCACAAGGGGCGAAAGGCUGAUGCAGACAUGCCGCGUGUAUGAAGAAGGCCUUCGGGUUGUAAAGUACUUUCAGCGGGGAGGCGGGAACAGAAGAAGAAGCACCGGCUAACUCCGUGCCAGCAGCCGCGGUAAGAG